Long non-coding RNA from Medicago truncatula (barrel medic), 576 nucleotides. RefSeq lists it as uncharacterized. Lineage: Eukaryota; Viridiplantae; Streptophyta; Magnoliopsida; Fabales; Fabaceae. The transcript has 2 exons. The record is from RefSeq and is a predicted model, not a curated record.
CUUUUUUGGAUUGUGGAGAUUGCUUCUGUUGUCCAAAAGAGUUGGGAGAUUGUUGAUCUUGGUGUUUUAUUUGUGGUGCAGGAUUGGAGAAAGCUGCAGAUGGGCUUUACUGGUACCAAUGCCAUCAGGGUUGAGGGGUUCAACAUAGAGCAGCGAUAGAAUUCAUGAGUGGAGGGAUAUCAGAAAGACACAAAAAUUCUGGAAAAAGCAAUAAGACAAGAAGACGAAGGGGCAAAGGAUAAAAAUAGAGUAAAAUAAGGAAGAAAAGGCAGAGGAGAUCAACGAAAACUUAACCUAGAUACACCAAAAGAUCAUCCAAGGAUGCAAACUAAAGCCAACUACCCUAAAUCACCAAAGAUAAGGGAGGAUAACAACAAGAAAACAAGGUAGGAAAAAAGGUUAAAAAAGAUUAGAAUUGAAUUGAGGUGAUGAUGUUAUAAAUAGUUUAAACGUUUUAACUGGGACAAUUUUUAUACAGGACAACUUGUCGUGUAAAUAAAGGUUAGCUUAGUCAAUGAUAAUUUAUCCCGUGUAUUUUAUUUUUUCUGAAAGUUUAGUCAAUGUUCGUUUCUCCUA